CAGCAGCCGCGGUAAUACGAAGGGGGCUAGCGUUGUUCGGAGUUACUGGGCGUGAAGCGCACGUAGGCGGAUAUUUAAGUCAGGGGUGAGAUCCCAGAGCUCAACUCUGGAACUGCCUUUGAUACUGGGUAUCUUGAGUAUGGAAGAGGUGAGUGGAAUUCCGAGUGUAGAGGUGAAAUUCGUAGAUAUUCGGAGGAACACCAGUGGCGAAGGCGGCUCACUGGUCCAUUACUGACGCUGAGGUGCGAAAGCGUGGGGAGCAAACAGGAUUAGAGACCCCAGUAGUCCCUGUCUCUUAUAC
This 301-nucleotide ribosomal RNA is filed under the name uncultured bacterium. RNAcentral describes it as "partial 16S ribosomal RNA". It matches the Rfam family "Bacterial small subunit ribosomal RNA", at positions 509 to 807 of the family's 1533-position model. The record is from RNAcentral.